This 504-nucleotide ribosomal RNA is filed under the name uncultured bacterium. Its description in RNAcentral is "partial 16S ribosomal RNA". It matches the Rfam family "Bacterial small subunit ribosomal RNA", at positions 29 to 508 of the family's 1533-position model. The record is from RNAcentral.
AACGAACGCUGGCGGCGUGCCUAACACAUGCAAGUCGAACGAGAAAGGGGCUUCGGCUCCGAGUAAAGUGGCGCACGGGUGAGUAACACGUGGGUAACCUGCCUCUAAGAUUGGGAUAACUCGUCGGAAGAUGAGCUAAUACCGAAUAAGACCACAGUUCCCGCGGGAACAGGGGUCAAAGGUAGCCUCUGCUUGCAAGCUAUCACUUAGAGAUGGGCCUGCGCACCAUUAGCUAGUUGGUAGGGUAACGGCCUACCAAGGCAAAGAUGGUUAGCUGGUCUGAGAGGAUGAUCAGCCACACUGGAACUGAGACACGGUCCAGACUCCUACGGGAGGCAGCAGUGGGGAAUAUUGCGCAAUGGGCGAAAGCUUGACGCAGCAACGCCGCGUGAGUGAUGAAGGCCUUCGGGUCGUAAAGCUCUGUCGGGAGGAACGAAUGCUCCUGAGGUUAACAGCCUCGGGAGGUGACGGUACCUUCAAAGGAAGCACCGGCUAACUCUGUGC